GCACCUGUGUCCUCUCUCCCUCCAGCACCUGUGUCCACUCCUCCUCCACCACCUGCAAAACGCAAUUCAAAACGUAAAAUUAAAGCUCCUGUGUCCUCUCUCCCUCCACCACCUGUGUCCACUCCUCCUCCACCACCUGCAAAACGCAAUUCAAAACGUAAAAUUAAAGAAUGCAGAAAACAUGCCAAACAGACCAUAUACAAUUAUUCCCACAUUGUGGAUAAGCGUGUUGUUGGUGGAAAAGAAGAAGUCAGGGUGAAAUGGACAUCUUGCACAAAAUGUGGGAAAGAAUGGCCUGACUCGUGGGAGCCAGCAGAACAAUACAAAUGAUCUAUUAAUUAAAUAUUUUAUUUUUUUGUGUUUCAUCUUCUCAAAAAUUAAUAAAAAA
Molecule: long non-coding RNA, 388 nt
Organism: Fundulus heteroclitus (mummichog)
Lineage: Eukaryota; Metazoa; Chordata; Actinopteri; Cyprinodontiformes; Fundulidae
Exons: 5
Source: RefSeq, a predicted model, not a curated record